UCCGAGUUGACCCCGGCAGUCUUCCAUGAGUUCCCACCAUCACGUGCUGGCAACAUAGAACGAGGGUUGCGCUCGUUGCGGGACUUAACCCAACAUCUCACGACACGAGCUGACGACAACCAUGCACCACCUGUACACCAGUCCGAAGAGGCGACUAUCUCUAGCCGUUUCCAGUGUAUGUCAAGCCUUGGUAAGGUUCUUCGCGUUGCAUCGAAUUAAUCCGCAUGCUCCGCCGCUUGUGCGGGCCCCCGUCAAUUCCUUUGAGUUUUAGCCUUGCGGCCGUACUCCCCAGGCGGGGAACUUAAUGCGUUAGCUACGGCACGGAAUCCGUGGAAUGGACCCCACACCUAGUUCCCAACGUUUACGGCAUGGACUAC
RNAcentral lists this unclassified non-coding RNA (377 nucleotides) under uncultured Brevibacteriaceae bacterium. Its description in RNAcentral is "contains 16S-23S intergenic spacer region". Lineage: Bacteria; Bacillati; Actinomycetota; Actinomycetes; Micrococcales; Brevibacteriaceae. The record is from RNAcentral.